Molecule: transfer RNA, 73 nt
Filed under: bacterium
Lineage: Bacteria
Description: tRNA-Thr
Rfam family: tRNA
About the family: Transfer RNA (tRNA) molecules are approximately 80 nucleotides in length. Their secondary structure includes four short double-helical elements and three loops (D, anti-codon, and T loops). Further hydrogen bonds mediate the characteristic L-shaped molecular structure. tRNAs have two regions of fundamental functional importance: the anti-codon, which is responsible for specific mRNA codon recognition, and the 3' end, to which the tRNAs corresponding amino acid is attached (by aminoacyl-tRNA synthetases). tRNAs cope with the degeneracy of the genetic code in two manners: having more than one tRNA (with a specific anti-codon) for a particular amino acid; and 'wobble' base-pairing, i.e. permitting non-standard base-pairing at the 3rd anti-codon position.
Source: RNAcentral
GCCGCCUUAGCUCAGUUGGUAGAGCAACGCAUUUGUAAUGCGUGGGUCCUCGGUCCGAGUCCGAGAGGCGGCU